Molecule: long non-coding RNA, 770 nt
Organism: Peromyscus leucopus (white-footed mouse)
Lineage: Eukaryota; Metazoa; Chordata; Mammalia; Rodentia; Cricetidae
Exons: 2
Source: RefSeq, a predicted model, not a curated record
GCCCACUCCGACCCAGGCCCCGCCCCACCUGAGGCCCGCGGCCCCGCCCACAGGCGCGGCCCCGCCCACAGCCCCUAGCCUACUGACAUUCGCGACCCAGAUUCUACCUGGGCCUUUGGCGCCGCCUCCAGGCCUCGUCAGGCACGGCUCCCCGGAAGACCCGGCCAGUGCGACCCACCCAGCGCGCCUAGCUCCGCCCCGAGCCCCUCUUCCCCGCCGCCUAACGCUCCCAGCCCCUCAGCCUGCUCGGCACAGGCCGACCCCCUUCCGGAGGCCUGGACCAUAGAGAGGAUGCGCGGGCCAGAGAGCCUGUGACCAACGAGACUCGCAAGCUAGAGCGGCCCGGGCAGGCGGCCUUCCAGUCUCCAUGGCAACCAAGUGAAGACACCGAGUGCUGCAGCAGGCCCCCCAGCGUGAGUCUGGGGUUCAGCGCUGCCGCCUGCUCUCCCUUCCCGUGGCCUCCUCCUGUUUCCAUAUUCCUGGAACAUCUCCUGUGCCCUGUGCCCCACUUCCUCCUCUCGCCAGCCCGCGCCUCCCCCUCCCGUCCCCUUCCCCUCCCCUCCUCUCCCAGUGUACAGAGCCUGAGUGUGAGCACCGGCUCCUGACCACUCACCCGAUCCUCCGCGCCUGCUCCCCAGGCUUCAGUCCUAAAAUCUGGAAGGUUGAUAGCAGGCUAGCCAGGACUUCCCUUUGACCCUUGGGACCCACAUCGUGGAAGAAACUCCCAAAACACUAAAUAAAACAAAUAAACAAGAAAGAAUAAAUACAAA